GAGUUUGAUCCUGGCUCAGGAUGAACGCUGGCGGCGUGCCUAACACAUGCAAGUCGAACGAAGCAAUCGGGAUGAAGUUUUCGGAUGGAUUCCUGGUUGACUGAGUGGCGGACGGGUGAGUAACGCGUGGAUAACCUGCCUCACACUGGGGGAUAACAGUUAGAAAUGGCUGCUAAUGCCGCAUAAGCGCACAGUACCGCAUGGUACGGUGUGAAAAACCCAGGUGGUGUGAGAUGGAUCCGCGUCUGAUUAGCCAGUUGGCGGGUAACGGCCCACCAAAGCGACGAUCAGUAGCCGACCUGAGAGGGUGACCGGCACAUUGGGACUGAGACACGGCCCAAA
RNAcentral lists this ribosomal RNA (342 nucleotides) under uncultured microorganism. RNAcentral describes it as "bacterial SSU rRNA". It matches the Rfam family "Bacterial small subunit ribosomal RNA", at positions 9 to 335 of the family's 1533-position model. The record is from RNAcentral.